Molecule: small RNA, 125 nt
Filed under: Marmota monax (woodchuck)
Lineage: Eukaryota; Metazoa; Chordata; Mammalia; Rodentia; Sciuridae
Source: RNAcentral
GCUGGGCAUGGUGGUGCACGCCUGUAAUCUCCGCGGCUCGGGAGGCUGAGACAGGAAGAUCAUGAGUUCAAAGCCAGCCUCAGCAAAAGCAAGGUGCUAAGCAAUUCAGUGGGACCCUGUCUCUA